GCCAGAGGAGGCGAUCGUUAUCCGGAGUCAUUGGGCGUAAAGGGUACGUAGGCGGCUAGUCAAGUCUGAGGUUAAAGACCACAGCUUAACUGUGGGAAGGCCUUGGAAACUGACUGGCUAGAGUGGGGCAGGGGUUGCGGGAAUUCCCGGUGUAGCGGUGAAAUGCGUAGAUAUCGGGAAGAACACCUGAGGCGAAAGCGCGCAACUGGGCCCUAACUGACGCUGAGGUACGAAAGCUAGGGGAGAGAAUGGG
RNAcentral lists this ribosomal RNA (253 nucleotides) under uncultured bacterium. RNAcentral describes it as "partial 16S ribosomal RNA". It matches the Rfam family "Bacterial small subunit ribosomal RNA", at positions 524 to 776 of the family's 1533-position model. The record is from RNAcentral.